CCAGACUCCUACGGGAGGCAGCAGUGGGGGAUAUUGCACAAUGGGGGGAACCCUGAUGCAGCGACGCCGCGUGGGUGAAGAAGCGCCUCGGCGCGUAAAGCCCUGUCAGCAGGGAAGAAAAUGACGGUACCUGAAGAAGAAGCCCCGGCUAACUACGUGCCAGCAGCCGCGGUAAUACGUAGGGGGCAAGCGUUAUCCGGAUUUACUGGGUGUAAAGGGAGCGUAGACGGUGAUGCAAGUCAGAAGUGAAAGCCCGGGGCUCAACUCCGGGACUGCUUUUGAAACUGUGUAACUGGAGUGCAGGAGAGGUAAGCGGAAUUCCUGGUGUAGCGGUGAAAUGCGUAGAUAUCAGGAGGAACACCAGUGGCGAAGGCGGCUUACUGGACUGUAACUGACGUUGAGGCUCGAAAGCGUGGGGAGCAAACAGGAUUAGAUACCCGAGUA
This 444-nucleotide ribosomal RNA is filed under the name uncultured bacterium. Its description in RNAcentral is "bacterial SSU rRNA". It matches the Rfam family "Bacterial small subunit ribosomal RNA", at positions 331 to 792 of the family's 1533-position model. The record is from RNAcentral.